AGUAAAGCAUGAGUUUGAUUAAUAAUUCUAGACUGAUUCAAUCCAAGGCCUUUUAUUUUUCUCUUCUUCUCUUGGAUGAAUCUAAGGAGGAAGGAAACUCACUAAUAAGGUUAUAGUACUCUCAUCUAAGAAGAAGAAGAAGUAUCCACUCCAGUCUGGAUUGAACCUCUGCACACUUGUCUAUGCUUAUCAGAGACUCGGAGGUCAGUCCCAGGAUGGAUGUCAUCUCAAUCAUCACUAAUCGUCAUUAAGGAUGGAUCCUUUGACCAAUGUGCAAUUGUCCAAUCUAACAUAAAGUAACUUUGGGAGAAAGUGACUUCGGCUUUGAGCUGUCUUGGCUCUUCACCACUUAAUAAGAUCUUUGAAGAUUCCUGUGAUCUUCUUCAACCCAUGGCAUUUUGAGUUCCUUUUACCUAACAAGUUUAUUCAUAAUUUUUAGCUGUCAGAAAUCAAGUUGGAACAACCUGCAAAUCUGUUCCAUAUUGAAUUCUUCCUUUGCUGCACUAGCUGUGGGUGAAUGAACUUGUUUUUUUCUUUUUUGCUUGUGUCAUUUGGAAUUGCUGUAUGGGGAAAAUAUUCAUAAUUGAAUGUGCCUGAAGAGGUAUUGGAUCAAUUCUGAUCCCCCACCAUUUCCUUGAUAAAUCAUGAGCUCUUAAGAGUAAGAAAGUAGCCCUAAACUGACAAUUUUCUUCCACCAAGAAGUUAAAAGCUUCCUUUUUCAGUUUGAACUACAGAAAGAAAUAACAUUAAGAACAAACAUACUGAAGCAAAAGGCAAGGUUGCUUAAACAAUCAAGUUUUUUGAAGGAUAAUAUCCUCAAGUUCUUAUUCAUGGAAAGAAUCCUAAACAAUUAUCUUUUAUGUAAAUGUAGGAAUUGUCUUUUUUCAGUUUUAACAAUAGGAAGAAAUGACAUUAAGAACAAACAUACUGAGGCAAAAAAAAGUCAAGUUGCUUGAGAGAUAAGAAAUCCAAGUAUAGAAAAACUUCCAAAUGAAUAAAAGAACCCUUCGAAAUUAAAUGUUGGUUAUUCUAUUCCUAAGCAUCUCAAGUUUUUGAUCUGAGGUAGUGUUUGGAACAAAUAAGCUUCAUACACUUCUAGUAGCUUUCUCUAGUAUUUAUUUAUUUUUAUUUUUAUUCUCUAGUAAAAUUUUUGUGGUCUUGUACUAAUAUGCUAAUUGACUUACCUCUUUUAACUAUAAUAUUUUUAAAUCUUCUUAAUACAUGUGAAUGAUUUAUUCUUAUUUUCAUUCAAGUAUCUUAACUUUUUUUCUUAAAAGCACGAGUUUAUUUAUAUGUUAUUUUUCAAUUAUAUUAGAUCGAUAUUGCUCA
Molecule: long non-coding RNA, 1329 nt
Filed under: Musa acuminata (dwarf banana)
Lineage: Eukaryota; Viridiplantae; Streptophyta; Magnoliopsida; Zingiberales; Musaceae
Description: long non-coding RNA (MACU_LNC000242)
Source: RNAcentral